ACUUCAAAUAAAGCUGAAAUUUAUUUAAAUCCUGUCAGGAUAGCGACAAAGAGGAUUACUUCGCCCGUCUGGUUUCAAAACAAACAGCAAUUACCAUAAUUACACGCGAAUCAAAAUGUAUUUCUCACCCCUUGAUGCAUCGUGUGGAAAGUCCGACCCCUAAGGCACGUACUGGCAAGGAAAAUCUACUUAAUUUGCUU
Molecule: long non-coding RNA, 200 nt
Organism: Drosophila novamexicana
Lineage: Eukaryota; Metazoa; Arthropoda; Insecta; Diptera; Drosophilidae
Exons: 3
Source: RefSeq, a predicted model, not a curated record